RNAcentral lists this ribosomal RNA (549 nucleotides) under uncultured Glomus. RNAcentral's name for it is "SSU rRNA". It matches the Rfam family "Eukaryotic small subunit ribosomal RNA", at positions 548 to 1098 of the family's 1831-position model. The record is from RNAcentral. Lineage: Eukaryota; Fungi; Glomeromycota; Glomeromycetes; Glomerales; Glomeraceae.
UUGGAGGGCAAGUCUGGUGCCAGCAGCCGCGGUAAUUCCAGCUCCAAUAGCGUAUAUUAAAGUUGUUGCAGUUAAAAAGCUCGUAGUUGAAUUUCGGGGUCAGUAGGUUGGUCAUGCCACUGGUAUGUACUGGUCUCACUGAUUCCUCCUUCCUGAUGAGCCGUAAUGCCAUUAAUUUGGUGUUGCGAGGAAUCUGGACUGUUACUUUGAAAAAAUUAGAGUGUUUAAAGCAGGCUAACGCUUGAAUACAUUAGCAUGGAAUAAUGAAAUAGGACGUUCGAUCUUAUUUUGUUGGUUUCUAAGAUUGACGUAAUGAUUAAUAGGGAUAGUUGGGGGCAUUAGUAUUCAAUUGUCAGAGGUGAAAUUCUUGGAUUUAUUGAAGACUAACUACUGCGAAAGCAUUUGCCAAGGAUGUUUUCAUUAAUCAAGAACGAAAGUUAGGGGAUCGAAGACGAUCAGAUACCGUCGUAGUCUUAACCAUAAACUAUGCCGACUAGGGAUCGGAUGAUGUUAAUUUUUUAAUGACUCAUUCGGCACCUUACGGGAAAC